This is a long non-coding RNA of Cavia porcellus (domestic guinea pig), 555 nucleotides long. RefSeq lists it as uncharacterized. The transcript has 3 exons. The record is from RefSeq and is a predicted model, not a curated record. NCBI's taxonomy places the organism in Eukaryota, Metazoa, Chordata, Mammalia, Rodentia, Caviidae.
CAGGGUUCCGCCCCGCUCCCUCGGGCCCGCCCUUCCGGCUCCGGUUUGGGCUGGGUUUUCCCCCCUCUCCUGGCUCCCACCUGCCCCACCCAGCUGUGGAGCCUCCUCUGGUCUAUUCUUUGGAGGUGUUAGCUGCUCCCUUUUCCACUGAUGUCCUCUUUUGGCCCAGAGAGGAUGCCAAACCGAGGCUGCCCGCAUAAGCGUGAAGGGAGGUGGACAGGAAUGAAAUAGGAAGGUCCUUGCUUGGAGGAGCCCCAUUUAUGAUGGAGCACAGGGCCAGGUCUUGAACCCGUGGGCUGAAAUGACCUCCUGGCUCAGACUCCCAUUUUCUGAAACUGCAGGCAGAUGCCAGCAUACCUAGCUAGUGUUUCUCACUUUAAGCACACAUUUUUUAACAUGUAAAUAUCUCUGAAAUCUGAAUGCAUGUGAUCAUAGUUCACUUUUUAGAGAGGUCCAAAAGACACAAAAAACAAUGUUGUUUUUUUCUGAUGGCAUCUUACAUAGCACAAUGCAUAACAUAUUGUAUUAUAAUAGAUAAUGAAUCUUUAUCCCCUA